RNAcentral lists this ribosomal RNA (496 nucleotides) under uncultured bacterium. RNAcentral's name for it is "partial 16S ribosomal RNA". It matches the Rfam family "Bacterial small subunit ribosomal RNA", at positions 30 to 523 of the family's 1533-position model. The record is from RNAcentral.
AUUGAACGCUGGCGGAAUGCUUUACACAUGCAAGUCGAACGGUAGAGGGGGCAACCCCUCGAGAGUGGCGAACGGGUGAGUAAUAUAUCGGAACGUGCCCAGUCGUGGGGGAUAACGUAGCGAAAGUUACGCUAAUACCGCAUACGAUCUAAGGAUGAAAGCGGGGGAUCGCAAGACCUCGCGCGAUUGGAGCGGCCGAUAUCAGAUUAGGUAGUUGGUGGGGUAAAGGCUCACCAAGCCAACGAUCUGUAGCUGGUCUGAGAGGACGACCAGCAACACUGGAACGGAGACACGGUCCAGACGCCUACGGGAGAAAGCAGUGGGGAAUUUUGGAGAAUGGACGAAAGUCUGAUCCAGCCAUGCCGCGUGCAGGAUGAAGGCCCUCGGGUUGUAAACUGCUUUUGUACGGAACGAAAAGGUCUCUCUUAAUACGGGGGACUCAUGACGGUACCGUAAGAAUAAGCACCGGCUAACUACGUGCCAGCAGCCGCCGUAA